UUUAAAUUACCGAUAUUAGCGUUUUGUGUUAAAGUCUUAAAAUGCAGAAAAUGUUGGAGGUGUUGCAGAAAAUGCUGAAAAUGUAUCAGGAAAUGCAGAAAAUCUUGUUGCUGAAAAUGAUGGACAAGUUGCACAAAAUGCUGAAAAUGUCAAUGUUGUUGCUGCAAAUGUUGCAAUUCAGAGACAAAAUGUUGUCAAUGAUGUUACAAAUGAAGUAGUGAUUGGACAAGUAUGACUGUUAAAUUUUAAGGAUCGAUUUGCUAG
RNAcentral lists this long non-coding RNA (264 nucleotides) under Medicago truncatula (barrel medic). RNAcentral's name for it is "long non-coding RNA (MTRU_LNC008243)". Lineage: Eukaryota; Viridiplantae; Streptophyta; Magnoliopsida; Fabales; Fabaceae. The record is from RNAcentral.